UCAUUCCACAGAGGAAAGGUGGUGGGAAGGGCCUUGGCUAGCUGAGGGCAGAGUUAAAUUCAGGACCCUUCCCUGAUGAUGAUGCUCCGCUGCCCAGUAUUUUGAGAGUCAGAUCAGCAAGAUUCUUGGACAUGGUUUUCAUUCCCUGAAGAAUGUGCUUGGUUCAUUUCCAGCAUCUGCUAUGAAGUCAGAUGUGCAGUUAAGAGUUAAGGGGAAUUCCACACUCCUGUGGGAGACUUUAGACAUCUGGGAGAAGUUCCUCCUUUCUAGGAACUCCCCACCUGCAGCCACCGUUGGCAUCAGUCUGCGCCUUCCCUGUGCGGCAGCUACUGUUUCCUGACCUGAGACGUGCCAGGCACCGGCGCUUCCCUACAUCAGGCUG
Long non-coding RNA from Mirounga angustirostris (Northern elephant seal), 382 nucleotides. RefSeq lists it as uncharacterized. Lineage: Eukaryota; Metazoa; Chordata; Mammalia; Carnivora; Phocidae. The transcript is spliced from 3 exons. The record is from RefSeq and is a predicted model, not a curated record.